This 310-nucleotide ribosomal RNA is filed under the name uncultured eukaryote. RNAcentral describes it as "bacterial SSU rRNA". It matches the Rfam family "Eukaryotic small subunit ribosomal RNA", at positions 1208 to 1456 of the family's 1831-position model. The record is from RNAcentral.
GGAAAACUCACCAGGACAGGACAGAGGUAUGAUUGACAGGUUGAAAGUCUUUUCUUGAUUCUCUGGAUGGUGGUGCAUGGCCGUUCUUAGUUCGUGGAGUGAUUUGUCUUGUUAAUUCAGUUAACGAACGAGACCUUAACCUACUAACUAGGCUAUAGGCUAGCUUUACGGCUAGUCAGUUUCUAUGGAGUGGUUCGUAUGAGCCAUUUCUUGAAACCUAUAAUAUGGAACUGCAUCUUCGGGUGUAGUUCCUGCUUCUUAGAGGGACAAUACUUCGUUUAUAUUAGAGUAAGGAAGUUUAAGGCAAUAA